This 1365-nucleotide ribosomal RNA is filed under the name uncultured bacterium. RNAcentral's name for it is "bacterial SSU rRNA". It matches the Rfam family "Bacterial small subunit ribosomal RNA", at positions 28 to 1381 of the family's 1533-position model. The record is from RNAcentral.
GAUGAACGCUAGCGAUAGGCUUAACACAUGCAAGUCGAGGGGUAACGUGUUGGAAGCUUGCUUCCGAUGACGACGACCGGCGGAUGGGUGCGUAACGCGUAUGCAACUUGCCUCACAGAGGAGAAUAACCCGGAGAAAUCCGGACUAAUGCUCCAUACACUCUUUAGCACGCCUGUGCGUAAGAGGAAAGAUUUAUCGCUGUGAGAUAGGCAUGCGUCCUAUUAGGUAGUUGGUGAGGUAACGGCUCACCAAGCCGACGAUAGGUAGGGGUGCUGAGAGGCAGAUCCCCCACAUUGGGACUGAGACACGGCCCAAACUCCUACGGGAGGCAGCAGUGAGGAAUAUUGGUCAAUGGAGGAAACUCUGAACCAGCCAAGUCGCGUGAAGGAAGAAUGUCCUAAGGAUUGUAAACUUCUUUAGCGAGUGAGUAAGGACCUCCACGCGUUGGGAGUUUGAAAGUAGCUCGAGAAUAAGUAUCGGCUAACUCCGUGCCAGCAGCCGCGGUAAUACGGAGGAUACGAGCGUUAUCCGGAUUUAUUGGGUUUAAGGGUGCGCAGGUGGUCCUGCAAGUCAGUGGUGAAAAGCUGAGGCUCACCUCAGCCUUGCCGUUGAAACUGCAAGACUUGAGAGUACAUGAUGUGGGCGGAAUGCGUAGUGUAGCGGUGAAAUGCAUAGAUAUUACGCAGAACUCCGAUUGCGAAGGCAGCUCACAAAGGUAUGUCUGACACUGAGGCACGAAAGCGUGGGGAGCAAACAGGAUUAGAUACCCUGGUAGUCCACGCCGUAAACGAUGAUUACUCGAAGUAUGCGAUAUGACAGUAUGCUUCCAAGCGAAAGUGAUAAGUAAUCCACCUGGGGAGUACGCCGGCAACGGUGAAACUCAAAGGAAUUGACGGGGGCCCGCACAAGCGGAGGAACAUGUGGUUUAAUUCGAUGAUACGCGAGGAACCUUACCCGGGAUUGAAAUGUAUGUGCGCCUCUUGGGAAACCGAGAGGGUUCUCUUCGGAGACACAUAUGUAGGUGCUGCAUGGUUGCCGUCAGCUCGUGCCGUGAGGUGUCGGCUUAAGUGCCAUAACGAGCGCAACCCUUAUCGUCAGUUACUAACAGGUUAAGCUGAGGACUCUGGCGAGACUGCCGUCGUAAGGCGAGAGGAAGGUGGGGAUGACGUCAAAUCAGCACGGCCCUUACAUCCGGGGCGACACACGUGUUACAAUGGUAGGGACAGAGAGUAGCCACUCGGCGACGAGGAGCGGAUCUUGAAACCCUAUCUCAGUUCGGAUCGGAGUCUGCAACUCGACUCCGCGAAGCCGGAUUCGCUAGUAAUCGCGCAUCAGCCAUGGCGCGGUGAAUACGUUCCCGGGCCU